GAUGAACGCUAGCGGCAGGCCUAACACAUGCAAGUCGAGGGGCAGCACAGAAACAGCAAUGGUUUGGUGGCGACCGGCGGACGGGUGCGUAACGCGUAUGCAACCUACCUUUAACAGGGGGAUAACGGAGAGAAGUUUCCACUAAUACCCCAUAACAGCGAUCAAGGCAUCUUGAUUGGUUGAAAACUCCGGUGGUUAACGAUGGGCAUGCGUUGUAUUAGGUAGUUGGUGAGGUAAUGGCUCACCAAGCCUACGAUACAUAGGGGGACUGAGAGGUUAGCCCCCCACACUGGUACUGAGACACGGACCAGACUCCUACGGGAGGCAGCAGUGAGGAAUAUUGGUCAAUGGGGGCAACCCUGAACCAGCCAUGCCGCGUGCAGGAAGACGGCUCUAUGAGUUGUAAACUGCUUUUAAACAGGGAUGAAGCACAGUAUGUAUACUGUGUUGAAGGUACUGUAAGAAUAAGGAUCGGCUAACUCCGUGCCAGCCGCCGCAGUAA
This 502-nucleotide ribosomal RNA is filed under the name uncultured bacterium. RNAcentral describes it as "partial 16S ribosomal RNA". It matches the Rfam family "Bacterial small subunit ribosomal RNA", at positions 28 to 523 of the family's 1533-position model. The record is from RNAcentral.